This is a long non-coding RNA of Linepithema humile (Argentine ant), 594 nucleotides long. RefSeq lists it as uncharacterized. The record is from RefSeq and is a predicted model, not a curated record. NCBI's taxonomy places the organism in Eukaryota, Metazoa, Arthropoda, Insecta, Hymenoptera, Formicidae.
UUAUGUAAACAAAUUUUUAAAUUAUAAAUUAGCAUUUUGUAUGUUAUUCAGUAAUUUACUUUUAUCAAAUUGUUUGACCUAACCAAUUGAUUAGGUCAAACUGUUACACUAUUUACUUAUACGAUAAAUCGACUGGGUAAAUUCGACUGGGUUCUUAUUCCUACCACAAUUAUGUCGCCACUGUCAACGCGGAGUUCACGGCUACGGGACCAGGAGCCUUAAAGAUAGCAGCUAUAUAUGUGUAUAAAUGUUAAACAAUUGAGGCGUGUAACUUGCCAAAAUAUUCAUGUUGCCAAAACCUCAUGUUUACAGCUGAUGAAAACAAUACUGUCAAAUGAGCUGGCAAUAAAAUACAAUUGGUGCGGAGCAAAAAAAAACAACAUUUUUCUAAAUUAGAAAUAUGCAAAAUAAUUAUGAAUGUAAUACGAAAAUUACAUGAUGUCACAGAUGAGCAGAUCUCAGUCUCAAUCAAAAUAUGGUUAGCUCAUGCUAAAGAACGUAAGGAGAGAGAAUACCGUAACAUCAUAUAUCAAGAAUAAAGAAUAAAAAAAGUUAAUAUAUAUAUAAAUAUAAAUAAAAUGUAAAAAAAAUAUA